UGGAGGACUGGAAUGUCCAGAGGGCAGUGGGAGAGGGAUGACUUGAGAACACCAGAGUGCCAGGCUCUAGGCCCAGGAAAACUCCAUGGUUGUCCUUUGCGGCGACACACCGACCUUCAGAGGUGUAGGAUUUCCUCUGGGUUUCUCAGCAGUCCCAAAAGACAAGAAAGAAGAAACUACUGAACUGAUAUAAAUCCCAGACUUUUCCAGGUGAAUGACUGUGGCUAGGUCAUUCCUGUGAUUCAUCCCUGUAAAUUCUUGUGGUCCUCUACUGGGGUAACUGAAGGUCAUCCAAGCAAACUCUCAAUCAGGUUUGUUCCUGGUAACAGGAAGAUACAUGAAGAUACAUGCCUCUGGAUACAUGUUCCCAAAGCAGACAGAAUCUUGCACUUAAUUGCAAAGAGCCAAACUUAUCACUUAAUAUGGAGAAAGGCCAACCUACAGAGCUUCCCCUUUUCAAGGCCAGAGCAAUUCCUAGUGCCAGCAAAUGUCAUAGUUAUGGAUCAGAAACAAGCCUUUGAAAGAAAAUGCCUACAAAGCAAAAUCUGUGCCAAUUUGGGGGAGAGGAUUUAUUUCACCCUCUUAGCAUCUCUGUCUUGUCAUAAAUGUCAAGGGUAAUACAGCUGAAUAUAUUGCUUUCUCCUCCAAAAAAAUAAAGUGGGGGGCA
Phyllostomus hastatus (greater spear-nosed bat) is the source of this 667-nucleotide long non-coding RNA. RefSeq lists it as uncharacterized. The transcript has 3 exons. The record is from RefSeq and is a predicted model, not a curated record. Lineage: Eukaryota; Metazoa; Chordata; Mammalia; Chiroptera; Phyllostomidae.